AAGCAAAACAGAGUUGACAAAACUUCACACAAGACUCUUUGCUGCUGAAGUAUUUCAUUUGAGCUCCAGUCAUGAUCUUCUUUUGCCUCACAAUUUUGUCUCUUCUCAUAGGAAAUGUUAUGGCAAACACAAUAACACGCCUCUCUGCUGAAAAACAUGCACUGGAAGGAGAAGUGGUUACUAUUUCUUGCAAUUAUGAUGGAAGCAGCAUAUAUAGUUGGCAGUGGUAUAUGCAGUAUCCCAACACUGCACCUGAAUUUCUCCUGCAAACUCUUGAGAAUGUGGCUCCAAAGCAGAUGGGACGUUUUCUUGCUAAAGCUCACAAAGACAAAAAACAGCUGGACCUGGAGAUCUCCAAAACUGAAGUGACAGACUCUGGGAUUUACUACUGUGCACUGGUGCCCACAGUGACAGGAAACACCUCUACACUCUACAAAAACAUCAUGUUCGCUUUCAAUUAGAAAAUAUAAAAUUUGCAUUAUGUUUAAUUUAAAGAUCAACCAAUAAUCAACCACUGUUUAUUCAUUUAUAUAUAAGCAUUUAUACU
Molecule: non-coding RNA, 547 nt
Organism: Misgurnus anguillicaudatus (oriental weatherfish)
Lineage: Eukaryota; Metazoa; Chordata; Actinopteri; Cypriniformes; Cobitidae
Source: the annotation of a RefSeq genome assembly